Long non-coding RNA from Mustela erminea (ermine), 130 nucleotides. RefSeq lists it as uncharacterized. NCBI's taxonomy places the organism in Eukaryota, Metazoa, Chordata, Mammalia, Carnivora, Mustelidae. The record is from RefSeq and is a predicted model, not a curated record. The transcript has 3 exons.
GUCUAGGAGACUGGAGAGACUGCAUGAAAGGAUCUGGAUGCCAGGAAGGAGGCAAUGGUUCAGGCAGAAGAAGUGGCUGCUAAGACUGCUGGGAAGCUGGAGAAACAAGAGAAGAAACUGCUAUAAAAAG